This 388-nucleotide ribosomal RNA is filed under the name uncultured bacterium. Its description in RNAcentral is "bacterial SSU rRNA". It matches the Rfam family "Bacterial small subunit ribosomal RNA", at positions 28 to 417 of the family's 1533-position model. The record is from RNAcentral.
GACGAACGCUGGCGGCGUGCUUAACACAUGCAAGUCGAGCGGUAAGGCCCUUUCGGGGGUACACGAGCGGCGAACGGGUGAGUAACACGUGGGUGACCUGCCCUUACGCUCUGGGAUAAGCCUGGGAAACUGGGUCUAAUACCGGAUAUGACUCCAUGACGCAUGUUGUGGGGUGGAAAGCCUUGUGCGGCUAGGGAUGGGCCUGCGGCCUAUCAGCUUGUUGGUGGGGUGAUGGCCUACCAAGGCGACGACGGGUAGCCGGCCUGAGAGGGCGACCGGCCACACUGGGACUGAGACACGGCCCAGACUCCUACGGGAGGCAGCAGUGGGGAAUCUUGCGCAAUGGGCGAAAGCCUGACGCAGCGACGCCGCGUGGGGAUGACGGCCU